RNAcentral lists this ribosomal RNA (468 nucleotides) under uncultured bacterium. RNAcentral's name for it is "partial 16S ribosomal RNA". It matches the Rfam family "Bacterial small subunit ribosomal RNA", at positions 28 to 507 of the family's 1533-position model. The record is from RNAcentral.
GACGAACGCUGGCGGCGUGCUUAACACAUGCAAGUCGAACGGAAAGGCCCUGCUUUUGUGGGGUGCUCGAGUGGCGAACGGGUGAGUAACACGUGAGUAACCUGCCCUUGACUUUAGGAUAACUUCAGGAAACUGGGGCUAAUACCGGAUAGGAGCUCCUGCUGCAUGGUGGGGGUUGGAAAGUUUCGGCGGUUGGGGAUGGACUCGCGGCUUAUCAGCUUGUUGGUGGGGUAGUGGCUUACCAAGGCUUUGACGGGUAGCCGGCCUGAGAGGGUGACCGGCCACAUUGGGACUGAGAUACGGCCCAGACUCCUACGGGAGGCAGCAGUGGGGAAUAUUGCACAAUGGGCGGAAGCCUGAUGCAGCAACGCCGCGUGCGGGAUGACGGCCUUCGGGUUGUGAACCGCUUUCGCCUGUGACGAAGCGUGAGUGACGGUAAUGGGUAAAGAAGCACCGGCUAACUACGUG